GCGAGGUUGCCCGAGUGGUCGAAGGGGUGAGCCUUAAGAUCUCAUGGUCGCAAGACUGCGUGGGUUCGAUCCCCACACCUCGCA
Transfer RNA from Volvox carteri f. nagariensis, 84 nucleotides. It matches the Rfam family "tRNA". From Rfam's summary of the family: Transfer RNA (tRNA) molecules are approximately 80 nucleotides in length. Their secondary structure includes four short double-helical elements and three loops (D, anti-codon, and T loops). Further hydrogen bonds mediate the characteristic L-shaped molecular structure. tRNAs have two regions of fundamental functional importance: the anti-codon, which is responsible for specific mRNA codon recognition, and the 3' end, to which the tRNAs corresponding amino acid is attached (by aminoacyl-tRNA synthetases). tRNAs cope with the degeneracy of the genetic code in two manners: having more than one tRNA (with a specific anti-codon) for a particular amino acid; and 'wobble' base-pairing, i.e. permitting non-standard base-pairing at the 3rd anti-codon position. The record is from Rfam. NCBI's taxonomy places the organism in Eukaryota, Viridiplantae, Chlorophyta, Chlorophyceae, Chlamydomonadales, Volvocaceae.